AUGCUCCGAGAAAAAAUCCUUUCUUUCUCGUCCACUCAAGGGGGUGCAGACACACCUGCGCGAAUUACAGGUGACGAUUACAAGAAUGGCGGGGAAGUGAAGAGUACCCGACGACAUUCAGGGAUGAAUGUAGACCCAUCGGGCGGGGAUAAUCAUUCCGGUCCUGGGAUAGAUCAAGACGCUUAA
This 186-nucleotide ribosomal RNA is filed under the name Triticum aestivum (bread wheat). RNAcentral's name for it is "partial small subunit ribosomal RNA". Lineage: Eukaryota; Viridiplantae; Streptophyta; Magnoliopsida; Poales; Poaceae. The record is from RNAcentral.